GCCCGGCGGUCCGAUGGUGCGGCUCUGGGGGCGCGCAGGGCUGGGGGAGGCGCGGCCCCGCCCUCCGGCAGGAGAACAGGGCGCAGCCUCGCGUGCACGCAGUGACCCGCAGACUCAGCGCGACCCGAGAGAUGGAGGCGUGGCCCGCCCUUCCCCGGGGAGCCCAGGGCCCUGUGUCCGGUAGCAUCUCCGCGUCCUGGUGCAGCCGUGACUCCGAGGCCAGACUCGCAGCCAGAGAGGCGAUCGGGGCGGCAGCGGCGUGGGGGAGCCGUGUCUGUGGAAAAAGACAGAUGCGACUGGACGCAUCUCCGCGCGGCUGGCAGGCCCUUCCCGGCUCCUGGAAUGUGACUGGCUGAAUUGUGACUGGCCGACUUCCUCCUCCUGCGGUUGGGUUUGUAAUAACACAGACUACGACUCUAGUUUUGCCAAAGUGGAAAAAAAAAAAA
This is a long non-coding RNA of Eptesicus fuscus (big brown bat), 446 nucleotides long. RefSeq lists it as uncharacterized. The record is from RefSeq and is a predicted model, not a curated record. The transcript is spliced from 3 exons. Lineage: Eukaryota; Metazoa; Chordata; Mammalia; Chiroptera; Vespertilionidae.